UACGUAGGGCGCAAGCGUUAUCCGGAAUUAUUGGGCGUAAAGAGCUCGUAGGUGGCUCGUCGCGUCGGGAGUGAAAACCCGCGGCUUAACCGCGGGCCUGCUUUCGAUACGGGCGGGCUAGAGUUCGGCAGGGGAGACUGGAAUUCCUGGUGUAGCGGUGGAAUGCGCAGAUAUCAGGAGGAACACCGGUGGCGAAGGCGGGUCUCUGGGCCGAUACUGACACUGAGAAGCGAAAGCGUGGGGAGCGAACAGG
Molecule: ribosomal RNA, 253 nt
Filed under: uncultured bacterium
Lineage: Bacteria
Description: partial 16S ribosomal RNA
Rfam family: Bacterial small subunit ribosomal RNA
Source: RNAcentral